This 216-nucleotide long non-coding RNA is filed under the name Phoenix dactylifera (date palm). Its description in RNAcentral is "long non-coding RNA (PDAC_LNC022481)". The record is from RNAcentral. Lineage: Eukaryota; Viridiplantae; Streptophyta; Magnoliopsida; Arecales; Arecaceae.
CCCGGAGCGCCUGGGACGCGACUGACAACUUUUCAGGUUUGGUUUGAAUUUCAAAUCUCCUUUACUUUAUCUCUAACGGCUAUAUUUGCUUUUUGGGCUAUAAAAGGGAGCUCUUAAGUGCUUCUCAACAACUUCUAACCAACCCAAAGCAAAAUCAUUCAAGAGAGAAGAAAGAAAAAGAGGUUCAAGGGAGUUAGUGCAUUCAAGUGAAGAAAU